UUUCUUUUCGGACUGCACGUCCAUCAUAGACUUCACACUCUGACAUGGUGUAACUUACAAGCACUCAGCACAGCUUAUUUUUAACUUUAGUAAUAUGAACUUCCUCUAUUUGCUUCUGCAUUGAGUAUCAGCCCACUGUUUAAAACUAAUGCUGUAAAAGGUUUUUUAAAGAGAACAACCACAGCAACUCUGCACACACUGAAGUUCAUAUUUACCAAAGAAGGUGUCAGGUCCGACGGUGCCCCGACCGGCGACCUGUGUGUAUGUGUGUGUUUGUUCUCUCGCUCUGUUUUUGUCUCCGGCUCCGCUGCAGUUGUUACGCGGUUGCGUAGCAACGGGAGAUCUCCGACCCGGAAGUGCUGCCACUCUGAGCUGUCCCACCUGCGACUGAUUCCUCGCCAGCUGCUGCCAAUCUUCCACCAUCGUUGGCAGAGCUAUUUAAUGGUGUGGCUGAGUGACAGACAGCGCUGGAGUAUUCCACCAAGCCUGGAAACGAGCGAGACGGAAAGACGAGAGGAGAGACGUCACUAUUCACGAGAGUUGUGUGGACACAUGAGGGGAGCACUGAAGGGACUUUGCACUGUGGAUAACUGUGGAUUGGCUUCACUGUAAAUAAAGACACUGUUCAACUUUAACGAGAGGUCCGCGUCUGGGUUCUCUUACUCACCACCCCGUAACAGAAGAUUUAAAUGUAAAUGUAAAGAUUUGCAUGAAUGAGCAGGAAGCCCUGCAGCAGACUCACAGACGGAUGCAGAGGGGAGGAGUGUGGAGGUGUGUGCUGUGUGUUUGGAGGAGGGACUCCUUCAGUUAGAGAAGUGAGGCGUCACAAGUUCCUGGUUUCCAGUGAAGAAGAAGAGAGGCAGCAGUAAACCAUCAGAGCCUCAUCAUGAAAGUCCAUCACACUCUGAUCUGCUUCUUCUUCCUUUCUCUGCAGGAUGGAAACGCUGAAGUCAUAUUCAACAACAACAUUUCCUUUGGAGUCGUUGGAGGAAAUCUAACAGCUGGAUUCUCCUUUCCUGCUGGAACAUGGAAAAUGUUGUGCAGAGGAGAAUGUAAAGGAGGAAACAUUCUUAUUAAUACAACAGAUGAGAAGCAUCAAAGUCACAGAUACAGCACUGAAUAUACAAUUGUACAAUAUGCUCCUACUUUGUCUGUGAGCAUCACACAGCUGAUCAUGUCUGAUGCUGGACAGUACAGCUGUGGUGUGGGUGAAUCUCCAUCAUCAGUUUCAUACAGACAGUUUGAAGUUGUUGUUGCUGAAGCACUGCUGGAUGGAAACGAUCCUGCUCAGCUGAAACACUUCAAUAAAGAAACUGGAAGCUCUCUCACAGUCGGAUGUUCCUUUAAUCCGUCUGGAGGACAAAAGUUCUUCUGCAGGGGAGAAUGUGGAGAGGACGAGGUUCUUCUUCAAACAGAUGAUGAAGAUGCUUCCAAAGACAGAUACAGAAUUGGAUUUAGAGGAACUUCAGAGGAGACAUAUGGAGGAGGAGGAAUUGUGUAUGUGACAAUCACACAGCUGACUGAGUCUGACUCAGGACAGUACAGAUGUUCUCUGAAUCCAUCUUCUGGUCAAGCUUCAUUCAGACUCUUUGAGAUCAACGUCACAGAUGCAGUCGUCCAAUCAGCCUUCUCACCUUCACUCACCUCGAGUGUAACCACGGAGCAGCCUGAGAAAACACCUGAAGGUGUUUCGCUGCCUGUGGGUCUGACUGUGGCUGUCAUCAUCAUCAUCAUCAUCAUCAUCGUCCUCUCAUCACUGGCUGUUCUAAUAAUCUGCAUUAAGAGGAAGAGCAACAGAGGUUUGAGGACCAGAGGAAACUCAGAGGGCACAAACAUGGAGGUGACUUUCUUUCUCUUUGUUUCCUCUCACUGCUGACAGACUGCUACCGUAACAAAGAAAUAAAGCAGUCACAGUGUGAUGGUUCAGUUUGUAGACUGUUCCAGAAAUUACAAUCCAAGAAGGUGAAUUCAAACAGGUAGGUGACAAAAAUGGCCGCCCAGACGGAGACUCCAACAACAAACAGAGACACUGUUGUCUGAGAGGUUCAACGAGGCAACAUGGAAAUAUUUACCAGCACAAAUGAUUUCACCAAGUCAGAGUCUGUUCUUGUUAUGUGAAGAAGACAGUGUGUCUCUGUUUUAGGACGUCCCACUACGAGAACUGUACUCCAGGUUCUACACGUGAAGACUCGACCUACCAGAGCCUCCAUCCAGCCGCCAGGGACCAGGACCAGACCUACUCCACACUCACACACCACACAUGAGACUCUCUGGAUUCACACCUGGGUUUAUUUCAGUCCCUCAGGUUUAAAAUUUGAACACAGACCCUGAAAACUGUAAAUAUUAACUCACAUUUGGAGUCAGCUUCAAGUGGCCGUUAGAGGAACUGCAGCUGUUGGAACGUCUGCAGGAGGAACCAGCCCCACCAGCCUCCAUCAUCCUACAUGAGUGGAGACUGUGAAGUCUUUCUGCUGCAGUGUGUCAUCCAUUUGGCUGAGAAGGAGACCGUCUGCAGUCUCCCUUCUCUCCAACACCUGGACACCUCCAGGACCCUGAGAGUGACCCCUCCCACCCUGGACAGACACUUUCUGAGUCGCUCUCCUCUGUAUCAUGAAACUGUCAAUAU
Long non-coding RNA from Oreochromis aureus, 2626 nucleotides. NCBI's taxonomy places the organism in Eukaryota, Metazoa, Chordata, Actinopteri, Cichliformes, Cichlidae. The record is from Ensembl.